UAGAGUUUGAUCAUGGCUCAGGAUGAACGCUAGCUACAGGCUUAACACAUGCAAGUCGCGGGGCAGCAUGUCGGUUGCUUGCAACCGAUGAUGGCGACCGGCGCACGGGUGAGUAACGCGUAUCCAACCUGCCCUGCGGUAGGGAACAGCCCGGCGAAAGUCGGAUUAAUGCCCUAUGUGCUCAUUUGACGGCAUCAGAUUUUGAGCAAAGGAUUCGUUCGCCGCAGGGCUCAGGAUGAACGCUAGCUACAGGCUUAACACAUGCAAGUCGAGGGGCAGCAUGAACUUAGCUUGCUAAGUUUGAUGGCGACCGGCGCACGGGUGAGUAACGCGUAUCCAACCUGCCCCGAGGUCAGGGACAGCCCGGCGAAAGUCGGAUUAAUACCUGAUGGUCUCUUUUGAUGGCAUCUGAGGAGGAGUAAAGAUUCAUCGCCUUGGGAUGGGGAUGCGUAGGAUUAGGCAGCAGGCGGGGUAACGGCCCACCUGGCCCUCGAUCCUUAGGGGUUCUGAGAGGAAGGUCCCCCACACUGGUACUGAGACACGGACCAGACUCCUACGGGAGGCAGCAGUGAGGAAUAUUGGUCAAUGGGCGAGAGCCUGAACCAGCCAAGUAGCGUGCAGGAAGACGGCCCUACGGGUUGUAAACUGCUUUUAUGAGGGGAUAACGUGCGCCACGUGUGGUGUAUUGCAGGUACCUCAUGAAUAAGGACCGGCUAAUUCCGUGCCAGCAGCCGCGGUAAUACGGAAGGUCCGGGCGUUAUCCGGAUUUAUUGGGUUUAAAGGGAGCGCAGGCGGCCUUUUAAGCGUGACGUGAAAUGUAGGCGCUCAACGUCUGAAUUGCGUCGCGAACUGAUGGGCUUGAGUCUACGGAAUGCCGGCGGAAUUCGUGGUGUAGCGGUGAAAUGCUUAGAUAUCACGAAGAACUCCGAUUGCGAAGGCAGCUGGCAGCAGUCAGACUGACGCUCAUGCUCGAAAGUGCGGGUAUCGAACAGGAUUAGAUACCCUGGUAGUCCGCACGGUAAACGAUGGAUGCCCGCUGUUUGCCAUUGAGGUAAGCGGCCAAGCGAAAGCAUUAAGCAUCCCACCUGGGGAGUACGCCGGCAACGGUGAAACUCAAAGGAAUUGACGGGGGCCCGCACAAGCGGAGGAACAUGUGGUUUAAUUCGAUGAUACGCGAGGAACCUUACCCGGGCUUGAACUGCACAGGAAGGAUACAGAGAUGUUGACGCCCUUCGGGGCCUGUGUGGAGGUGCUGCAUGGUUGUCGUCAGCUCGUGCCGUGAGGUGUCGGCUUAAGUGCCAUAACGAGCGCAACCCUUCUCUUCAGUUGCCAUCAGGUGAUGCUGGGCACUCUGGAGACACUGCCACCGUAAGGUGUGAGGAAGGUGGGGAUGACGUCAAAUCAGCACGGCCCUUACGUCCGGGGCUACACACGUGUUACAAUGGCGCGUACAGAGGGCAGGCACUGGGCAAUCAGCGUCGAAUCCUUAAAACGCGUCUCAGUUCGGACUGGGGUCUGCAACCCGACCCCACGAAGCUGGAUUCGCUAGUAAUCGCGCAUCAGCCAUGGCGCGGUGAAUACGUUCCCGGGCCUUGUACACACCGCCCGUCAAGCCAUGAAAGCCGGGGGCGCCUGAAGUCCGUGACCGCGAGGGUCGGCCUAGGGUGAAACCGGUGAUUGGGGCUAAGUCGUAACAAGGUAACCGUA
This 1707-nucleotide ribosomal RNA is filed under the name uncultured bacterium. RNAcentral's name for it is "bacterial SSU rRNA". The stretch from base 196 to 1707 matches the Rfam family "Bacterial small subunit ribosomal RNA". The record is from RNAcentral.